RNAcentral lists this ribosomal RNA (491 nucleotides) under uncultured bacterium. RNAcentral's name for it is "bacterial SSU rRNA". It matches the Rfam family "Bacterial small subunit ribosomal RNA", at positions 30 to 507 of the family's 1533-position model. The record is from RNAcentral.
UGAACGCUGGCGGCGUGCCUAAUACAUGCAAGUCGAACGCACAGCGAAAGGUGCUUGCACCUUCAAGUGAGUGGCGAACGGGUGAGUAACACGUGGACAACCUGCCUCAAGGCUGGGGAUAACAUUUGGAAACAGAUGCUAAUACCGAAUAAAACUUAGUGUCGCAUGACACAAAGUUAAAAGGCGCUUCGGCGUCACCUAGAGAUGGAUCCGCGGUGCAUUAGUUAGUUGGUGGGUAAAGGCCUACCAAGACAAUGAUGCAUAGCCGAGUUGAGAGACUGAUCGGCCACAUUGGGACUGAGACACGGCCCAAACUCCUACGGGAGGCUGCAGUAGGGAAUCUUCCACAAUGGGCGAAAGCCUGAUGGAGCAACGCCGCGUGUGUGAUGAAGGCUUUCGGGUCGGAAAGCACUGUUGUAUGGGAAGAACAGCUAGAAUAGGAAAUGAUUUAGUUUGACGGUACCAUACCAGAAGGGACGGCUAAAUACGUG